GAUGAACGCUGGCGGCGUGCCUAAUACAUGCAAGUCGAGCGAACAGAAGAGGAGCUUGCUCCUCUGACGUUAGCGGCGGACGGGUGAGUAACACGUGGAUAACCUACCUAUGAGACUGGGAUGACUUCGGGAAACCGGAGCUAAUACCGGAUAAUAUAUUAAACCGCAUGGAUCAAUAGUGAAAGGCGGUUUUGCUGUCACUUAUCGAUGGAUCCGCGCCGCAUUAGAUAGUUGGUAAGGUAACGGCUUACCAAGGCAACGAUGCGUGGCCGACCUGAGAAGGGGAGCGGCCACCCUAGACCUGUGACACGGCCCAGACCCCUCUGCUACGCAGCAGUGCGGUAUGGUACGCAAGGCGAGAAAGCCUAACGGAGUACCGCCGCGCGAGUUAUGAAGGUACUGGGAUAGGAAAUCUAUGCUACUAUUGAACGAGAAAUGUGUCAGUAACGAGGAGCGUCUUGACGGUAUCUAAACAGAAAGCAACGGCUAACUCCGUG
Molecule: ribosomal RNA, 497 nt
Filed under: uncultured bacterium
Lineage: Bacteria
Description: partial 16S ribosomal RNA
Rfam family: Bacterial small subunit ribosomal RNA
Source: RNAcentral